UCUCUCUUCCAACCUCCACGAUCACCAUUCACCAAUAUAAUUACCUCUAUUUUUUCUUAACUACCGAUGUGGGCACGCAUUGCUUCUUCCCCAUAUUCAGAUAAAAUGUUGAUUUGUGAUAUGUUUCUUUUUUUCGUUGCUUCAUCUCUUUAGAUCUCACUCUUCUCUCUAUUUCUAUUACAACUGUCUCAUUUAUUUACAUUCAAAGGCUUCUACGUAAAACUCAAGAUUUAAGAAAAUGUGGAAAGACAGAAGAAAACAAACUCUAUCGAACAAAAAUAGAAUUAUAGUUUAUCUGUAUGCUGUGGGCUAAAAAAAGGAAUAAAUGGGGAGAUGGAUAACUACAAUGAAGACAUUAAGACGAGGAAGACACGGUUCAAGCAACGAAAGUCAAAGCUGACCAGUUGGGUCUUGAGAUGAGAGAAGUGAGCAGCUUAGAGAGCUUUACCACCAAUAGCAAAGUCUAUAAUACCGCUGAUAGCAAAGUCUUCACUCACUCUCUUCUCGCUAAAAGUGUUUUGCUUCUCACAGUGGUUUACUUUCUAUAUCUUGGAGGAGUCUCUGGAAUCGGCACGGCCGAACAUAUUGCAGAGAAUUUUAAACACACGUACAAAGCCCCUAUAAUGCAAACCACCACAAGAAAAUAGAGAGGAGAAAACGUAGAGAUAAAAGGCACAAAUGGAGUCUAAGUUGAACCAUCAAGUAAGAAAUUCAGGGACUAGAGAAAGCAAAAAGAUUCAUGGCUAGAGAAAACAAAAAGAUCAAGAUCUGACUUGAUAGUAAGAUUUUCUUACUUUGUGUAUGUUUAUUGUUUUGAUCAACUUUUUAUGUGUUUAUAAUUUAUAGAAAUGUUCUGAUAUUAUUUUUGUUUAAUUUCAGAUCAAAAUAUUAAUUUAUUCUUCUAA
Raphanus sativus (radish) is the source of this 905-nucleotide long non-coding RNA. RefSeq lists it as uncharacterized. The record is from RefSeq and is a predicted model, not a curated record. The transcript has 5 exons. Lineage: Eukaryota; Viridiplantae; Streptophyta; Magnoliopsida; Brassicales; Brassicaceae.